UACGAAGGGGGCUAGCGUUGCUCGGAAUCACUGGGCGUAAAGGGUGCGUAGGCGGGUCUUUAAGUCAGGGGUGAAAUCCUGGAGCUCAACUCCAGAACUGCCUUUGAUACUGAGGAUCUUGAGUUCGGGAGAGGUGAGUGGAACUGCGAGUGUAGAGGUGAAAUUCGUAGAUAUUCGCAAGAACACCAGUGGCGAAGGCGGCUCACUGGCCCGAUACUGACGCUGAGGCACGAAGGCGUGGGGAGCGAACGGG
This 253-nucleotide ribosomal RNA is filed under the name uncultured bacterium. RNAcentral describes it as "partial 16S ribosomal RNA". It matches the Rfam family "Bacterial small subunit ribosomal RNA", at positions 524 to 776 of the family's 1533-position model. The record is from RNAcentral.